This 465-nucleotide ribosomal RNA is filed under the name uncultured Klebsiella sp. RNAcentral's name for it is "bacterial SSU rRNA". It matches the Rfam family "Bacterial small subunit ribosomal RNA", at positions 338 to 795 of the family's 1533-position model. The record is from RNAcentral. Lineage: Bacteria; Pseudomonadati; Pseudomonadota; Gammaproteobacteria; Enterobacterales; Enterobacteriaceae.
CCUACGGGGGGCUGCAGUGGGGAAUAUUGCACAAUGGGCGCAAGCCUGAUGCAGCCAUGCCGCGUGUGUGAAGAAGGCCUUCGGGUUGUAAAGCACUUUCAGCGGGGAGGAAGGCGUUAAGGUUAAUAACCUUGGCGAUUGACGUUACCCGCAGAAGAAGCACCGGCUAACUCCGUGCCAGCAGCCGCGGUAAUACGGAGGGUGCAAGCGUUAAUCGGAAUUACUGGGCGUAAAGCGCACGCAGGCGGUCUGUCAAGUCGGAUGUGAAAUCCCCGGGCUCAACCUGGGAACUGCAUUCGAAACUGGCAGGCUAGAGUCUUGUAGAGGGGGGUAGAAUUCCAGGUGUAGCGGUGAAAUGCGUAGAGAUCUGGAGGAACACCGGUGGCGAAGGCGGCUCUCUGGCCUGUAACUGACGCUGAGGCGCGAAAGCGUGGGGAGCGAACAGGAUUAGAUACCCUGGUAGUC